ACUCGGCGUAAAGAGUGGUUAAAAGAAUGAGUUUACUAAAGCCGAACGCCCCCUUAACUGUUAUACGUUCUCGAGGGUAAGAAGCCCCCCUACGAAAGUAGCUUUAAUAUUAUUGACCCCACGAAAGCUGUGGAACAAACUGGGAUUAGAUACCCCACUAUGCACAGCCGUAAACUUUGGCAGUUUAGUACAACAACUGCCCGCCAGGAACUACAAGCACCAGCUUCAAACCCAAAGGACUUGGCGGUGCUUAAGAUCCACCUAGAGGAGCCUGUUCUAGAACCGAUAACCCCCGUUAAACCUCACCCUCUCUUGUUUAAUCCGCCUAUAUACCGCCGUCGUCAGCUUACCCUGUGAAGGUCUAAAUAGUAAGCAAAAUCAGCA
This 384-nucleotide ribosomal RNA is filed under the name Gibbonsia montereyensis (crevice kelpfish). RNAcentral's name for it is "partial 12S ribosomal RNA". It matches the Rfam family "Bacterial small subunit ribosomal RNA", at positions 553 to 1107 of the family's 1533-position model. The record is from RNAcentral. Lineage: Eukaryota; Metazoa; Chordata; Actinopteri; Blenniiformes; Clinidae.